This 64-nucleotide transfer RNA is filed under the name Cavia porcellus (domestic guinea pig). It matches the Rfam family "tRNA", at positions 1 to 62 of the family's 71-position model. From Rfam's summary of the family: Transfer RNA (tRNA) molecules are approximately 80 nucleotides in length. Lineage: Eukaryota; Metazoa; Chordata; Mammalia; Rodentia; Caviidae. The record is from Rfam by way of RNAcentral.
GGGGAUUUAGCUCAGUGGCAUAAGCACCUGCCUUGUAAGCAGGCAGUCGUGAGUUCAAUUCCCG